This 1699-nucleotide long non-coding RNA is filed under the name Mus musculus (house mouse). RNAcentral's name for it is "RIKEN cDNA 2810407A14 gene". The record is from RNAcentral. Lineage: Eukaryota; Metazoa; Chordata; Mammalia; Rodentia; Muridae.
ACUCACGCUUGCACUGCGAGUACAGUCAGCCAUUGACUCAGCUGCCCAGCCCUGGAAUGUGAGCUCUGGGACUUAUCCUUCUCACAUGAAAAUGUUUCUGGCAUUUCUUUUUUUUUUUUUUUUUGUCAUAGCAAUGAGAAAAGUAACAAAGACAGCGGCCGUUGCGGAUGAAUAUAGAUAACUAUUUCCAUUGGGUUCCAGAACCUCACUCCCACCAACGGAGAAGUGCCCAGCGGUUUCUUGGCUGUACUCUCAGAUACUUACUGUCCUCAGCUUGUCAGCUUUUCCUGAGAGUCAGAGACCACAAGGAACAGCGAGUUAUAGAACAUCCUUUCACCUGCUAGAUUUCCAAGUGAGGCAGAGGCCUUGUUAGCCCACGUGAUUCCACAACAACCGCUCCGUGUGGGAAAGCUCCUGAAGUGCUUUCUGUAAAGUCAUGGAGUUCUGUUUAGCCUUGCUGAUGAGGACCCAGACUUCAGGGGAGUGCGCACUUUCAGAAAUAACUGGAAUGUUGCCUGAGUCCUUCUGGUGAGAAUCGGGGGAGCAGAACCCUGCGUGCCGGUUAUAGAAUUUUCAUGUUGACAUUGUAGGAGUUCUUCUUUAAGCCACUUCCAGAAUGUUCCUGCCAUCCAUUGACAUUUUCCUGUCUGUCCAUCUGUCCGUCUGUGUAAUGAAAAGACUCCUAUAACCUAAGCUGACUUUGAACUCAGUGUGCAUCUGAGGACGACCCUGAAGUUUCUGAACCUUCUGCCUCUGUCUGCCAGAUACUAUUGCACUUUUCAGAACGUCAUAUAAUCGGAACCAUACAGUCUGCGACCUUUCUUAGUUGGCUGUGUUUGCUCAGAAAAACACAUUUGUGUUUCCUCCGUGUCUUUUUGUGGCUUGGUAGUACAGUUUUAGGAUCAACGAAUUUUACCAUUAGUUAUUAGAAACUGGAAGCCAGAUACUUCUGUCGAUGCUGUGAUCAAGCACCUCACUGAAGGACGUAUUUCUUCCGUUGCUUAGUCUCAGAGGCAGUGGUCCAUCAUGGCAGAGGAGGCCUGGUCUAUGCAGUCUCUGCCAUAGUAAACAGGAAACAGUGAGGCAGAAAGGAGUCAACAGGGCCAACCCGCCCAUCCUCCUGUCCUUGGAGGUCCAUCUCCUCCAGGGAGAUGCCAUCUUCUACAAUUUCCAGAGCUUCCCAAAUGGAGAGGCAGGCAUUUCAUAGAGCAGACUCUGGGGAGACUGCAGCUGUAAGCCAUAGCAGGAUGCAUGGCUCUGAUAGGUUCUGGGAAGGCCCAGAAACAAGAAUGACUUUGUUUGCGUGGAAAUCACAUGAAGAUGCUGGAAGGGGAGGAUUGAUCAGGGGCAGUGAUGUGCAGAGGGGAGGAAAGGAGAGCAGGAGGUCCCCACAGCCCUGGACAGAAGGUACGAAGGAAAAUUUACAUCACUGCAGAAGUUACACAUCACAGGGGAGUGUGAAAAAUGGUGGACGGCCCAGGGAGGAUUUAUUUUGGUUUAGUGCUUUUCAUUGACUACCUGAUACCAGUGUCGUUUUAAAGUUGUGUCUUCUGUACUUGAAACAAAGUUAAUUCCUGUACCCUUAACGACCCCAGUUUAGCUACACAAUGAGGAUGGUGGCAUUUUACAGUGGGAAGGAACCUUCACGAUAACAGCGUAACUCAUAUACUGUACAGAUAAUAAAAAUGUUUUUCCAGCA